AUCGGAUUGUGGGCUCACUAAGAAGUCAGCGUGACAUUAGCUGCAUGUUUUGUAGUGGUAAUUACGUGUUGUUGAUAUGCAUGUCAAACCAGCUAUCCACUUGGUGUCUAAACUCUCUGAGAUGUUAAAGUGCAGUGGGCCGUGUCAGUUGUUGAAAACUUCAAAACGUCUUGGUAUACACCUACGGAGAAGGAUGUCAUCGGCGGUCAACUUCCCCAGCCUCAUCACCAAGAAGAGGAAUAAGGAGGAACUGAGUAGGGAUGACAUCGAAGCCUUCGUCAACGGCAUCGCUGACGAAAGCGUGCAGGACUCCCAGAUCGGUGCCAUGCUUAUGGCCAUGUAUUUAAACGAUCUGACCAUGAGGGAGACGACAGACCUGACCCGCGCCAUGAUGAACUCGGGGGAGACGCUGAGUUGGCCUAAGGAAUGGAAGGGUGAGCUGGUGGACAAACACAGCACCGGGGGAGUCGGGGACAAAGUCAGCCUAGUCCUCGCCCCGGCACUGGCAGCCUGUGGGUUGAAGGUACCCAUGAUCUCCGGGCGGGGUCUGGAGCACACCGGAGGGACGCUGGACAAACUGGAAUCUAUCCCAGGAUUCCAAGUCUCUGUGACGACAGAGAAGAUGCUGGAUAUCAUCAAGACUGUAGGCUGUUGCAUUGUGGGGCAGACGAAAAAACUGUGCCCUGCUGACAGCAAGAUGUACGCAAUACGUGACGUCACAGGCACUGUAGACAAUCUUGGGCUUAUAACAGGGUCGAUCAUCUCCAAAAAGGCAGCAGAGAAGAUAGAUGCUUUAGUGCUGGACGUUAAGUUUGGCAUCGGGGCUUUUCUCAAAGACAUUGACACGGCACGGAAGCUGGCAAAGAUGAUGGUUGGGUCCGGCAAUGGUCUGGGAAUAAAGACGGUGUCACUUCUCACAACUAUGAACUCGCCACUUGGCAAAAUGGUUGGCAACGCGUUAGAGGUGGCCGAAUCAAUCUGGACACUCCAAGGCAACGGCCCCGAUGAUCUCGUCAAUCUGAUCACAGAGUUAGGCGGAGAAUUGUUAAGCGUUGCAGGCAAAGCGACCUCUUCAGAGGAAGGUCGCCGUAGGAUCAUGACCACCCUCACUGACGGCUCAGCUUUGGCGAAGUUCUGCGCUAUGGUGAAAGCUCAAGGAGUAGAAGCCGCCACGGCAGACGCUCUGUGCGCACGCGAUGCCGACGUCUACAGUAUUCUGCCGAAAGCUCCUGCCACCAAGGACCUCCUCUCUCCAAAAUCAGGAUAUGUGACAGGUAUUGGCGCUAUGGCUUGUGCAGUUGUGGCACAAAAACUUGGAGCGGGAAGAUCCAAGGCUGGGGAAGCCAUUGACUAUACCGUGGGAUUGGAGUUCAUGGUGACGGUGGGAGACAAGGUGGAAGAAGGCAAGCCGUGGGUCAAGGUCCAUAUAAAGAAUGACAUUCCUGAUAACCUCAGAGACCAACUGGAAAAAGCCCUGGUUAUCGGUAGUGAAGCUCCUGCUUCUGGCACAAGCCGUGUCCAUGAAGUCGUUUCCGGUUGAUACUGCUGCAGCCGUCAUACCUGUUCAGGGCCACACAACAGACCGUGUCUUCAAUGUAUACUGCCUAGUCAUGCAUAUUUACUGGUCUGCUUUAACAAACGAAUCUGUCUCUUUGUUAGGCACCCCCUUUUCAAAAAAGCUGUAUCCGCCCAUGUAUCGUAGUAUAUAUUUUAACUCUUGCAAAGCUAGGAUUCUUUGUGGGUGGGUCGUAACUUGUUUCAACUGAAACCAGAGAUUUUGUGUCAGUUUAUGGCCAUCUGGUAUCACGUGACACCCCAGAGUGAUGACGUUACAAACAUCACUUGUUUCACGCUGUUUCAUAUUGGGUUUCACAAUAUACUAGAUUGAAUAAGCUUAUUUUUUCUAAAUGAUAGUUCAUCUCUUCAUCCUUUAUAUGUGACUUGUCUCAGGAGCAAACGCAUCCAUGCCGUCGUAGGCCCGGUUGCACAAAGCGAUUUCAGGUGUAAGACAUAACUUCCAUAUAUUACCAUUGAGCUAAUGUCGCUUUGUGGAACGGGUCCUUGGUUUUAUACAACGAGUAUUUCUGUUUUGUUUAACCUAUCCAGUGAUUGGUGUAUGCACUCUUUAUAUAUACCCGUAUAUAAAUGUGCGUCUGUCUACCUGUCUACCGUCCAUUUCUCUACCGCCACAGUUGCCUAUUUGUCGUCUAAUGUAAACCCUUUGUAUCCCCGCCUCUCUGUCUGUUGGGCGAGGUGUACACAAUAUUUACCCAGUUGCUCAAAGGAUCGACGUCCCAUCCAGAACAAGUUAGCAUCCAUAUAUAUGAUAGCGUUAAAAUAAUGUUUUUCACAAGCGAUAUAAUACAUAAACCGGUUAACUGUAAAAUACUAUUUCCCUUAGUUAUAUUGUACUUAAAGGUUAUUUUACACUGUUUUGAAAGUUAUAUAUAUACCUGUUAUUGAAUUUAAUGUAUUUUAUACCGGUUAUCUUCGUCAACUGUACAAUACUGUUUUACCUGGUUGUAUUGUACAUUGGAGUUAUUUUACACUGUUGUUAAAUUUUUAAGGUAUAGAAAAUUAGAAAUAUAGCUGUAAAGCGGUUAUCUUCGUCAACUGCACAAUAUUGUUUUACUUGGUUUUAUUGUACUUUGGAGUUAUUUUACACUGUUGUUCAAGGUAUGGACAUAUAGCUGUUAUUGACUUAAAUCUAUUCUAAACCGGUUAUCUUCGUCAACUGCACAAUACUGUUUCCCUUGGUUGUAUUGUACUUUGGAGUUAUUUUACACUGUUGUUCAAGGUAUGGACAUAUAGCUGUUAUUGACUUAAAUCUAUUCUAAACCGGUUAUCUUCGUCAACUGCACAAUACUGUUUCCCUUGGUUGUAUUGUACUUUGGAGUUAUUUUACACUGUUGUUCAAGGUAUGGACAUAUAGCUGUUAUUGACUUAAAUCUAUUCUAAACCGGUUAUCUUCGUCAACUGCACAAUACUGUUUCCCUUGGUUGUAUUGUACUUUGGAGUUAUUUUACACUGUUGUUCAAGGUAUGGACAUAUAGCUGUUAUUGACUUAAAUCUAUUCUAAACCGGUUAUCUUCGUCAACUGUACAAUACAAACAUGCAUGUACUGUUAUUUGUUUAUUGUUUGAUGUCAGAUUUCUUAUAACCAUUGAUUACAGUUAUUUCCAACUAUAUCUAUAGUUAGUAUAGUUAGAUUCACAUCAAAUAACAAUGUAUUAUAUAUAAAUCAGAGGACGCUGUAAACCUGAUAUCCUUGUUACAUAGGUCCGACUGUGAUUCGGUUAUUGUGGGUAACCGUGGAUUAUUCUCCUACUUUACCACCCUGUCAUGUGACUAAAGGAUAGCUCUUGUUUAUACCUGGGUACAACUUGUCGGGUGCCGGUGUUAGUUUUGUUUGUUUGUUUGUACUGGUCAUUAAUGUUACGAGUGGGGAUCGCAUGUGCGCGUCAUUAAGUAAAGUCAUUAUUUGGGACAGAUUGUUUCUACAUACGUUUUUGACGUUUUCAGCGAGUAUCUGCUGUUUUGCAUGUGUUUAUAUAAAUACACUGACAGAUGACAACGACACAAUAUAAAUGUUUCACAAUCAUCGGGAACAUGACACUAUGCACAAACUUUAUACAUGUAUUUGUUUAUCAAUGUGCAUUAUAGUUCUGUGCUAAUUGGUAUAUGACGGUUAGGGGUUUUAAACUGAUAUAUGGCAGUAGCGUCCGUUACUGUAUUACCUCUCAUCAGUUAAUGGUUAUUGACAUGCUUGUAAGAUGCGACUCACGGGAUCGGAUGGUCAGGCUCGCUGACUUGGUUGAUACAUGUCAUCGUAUCCCAAAUGCGUAGAUCGAUGCUAGUGAUGUCUAUCACUGUAUUGUCUGGUCCAGAUAAAAUUAUUUACAGACCGCCGUCAUAUAGAUGAAAUAGUGCUGAGUGCGACGUUAAACAACAAACAAACAUGUUUAUUGUCAGAUGUCCUCGGUGUCGCUGCUUGGCAUGGAUGUGACGUGGAACUGAUAAUUAACAAUAAACGGAUGAUGGGGUCGGCAUCUUCCAGAAGCAAGGGAGGUAACUGACUUUAAAAGUGUGGAAACUGGGCUCUUACAGUCAGUUAACUCCCUUGCCUCGGGAAGAUGGGAUUCGGCAGAAGGGAAGCAAAGGCUAGGUGACGAAGUUUUCAGGGAUAUUUUCAUCAGGCUAUUAUUUUACAGUAAAACAAAUGGCUUUGCAAUUUAUACUUGUGUAUCAAUUUAUACCGAGUUCUCUCUAGGCAGCAUCGCUGAAUUAAUCCCAGUCUCAUUAAAAUCAGAUCUUAGUUCUCUUAGAAGCUGAUCUGGGACAUCAGAUUUGUUUUUACUGAUCCAUUUAGUUCUUCUAUAAAAUAGAUGUUUUUCAAACAAUUUAGAAAUUUAGGGUUAUUCCUCUACAGUUGCGUGGAUCAGAUUUUGACGUUUAGCCUCAAAAAAAAGAUAUCACCAUGCCUAGUUUAUGGUUAUAUGGUAUGCUAUUCUCUAAUUCUGUACGUGAUUUGGUAGCUUUUUGUUAAAAUCAACCUUUCUUCACCAAGGCUAUGAUUGCUCAUAAUAGGCAUAUCAACAUAGCGAAGUCAUAAUGAGUGCAAGCCUGUCCAUGUACACUUUUUUAUACUUUCAAUGAGACGUUUUGAUAGAACUGCUGGUACCGACGCGUCGCAAUCAAACGACAAAAGAACAGACGUUAAGCAUAGUUCUUGAAUAUGAUUAUAAUAGCGUUCUUCAAAAAAUCUUGUUUUAAGCAUCUAGUGCAAGGUUCUUUGAAUGUUGGCCAUAGUUAAAAAUAGGUUACAACACUCAGGUUCCAUGUUCAAUCGUUCAAAUGGUCACUGAUACCUGACCCUUGCAACGAUUCGACAUCUGAUCCUCGUGCACCGAGCCUUGGGGCUCAACUGACCAUUUCAGCGAUCGAUUAAACCUCGGAUCCUCGCGGUCUAACCUAUACGAUGUCUGAAUAUCGGUCAUGUGUUCUGUUUGUUCCAAAUACCUGCAUUCCAUACAAAAUAAACACUUUUUUCUCUUUA
RNAcentral lists this unclassified non-coding RNA (5056 nucleotides) under Haliotis rufescens (red abalone). RNAcentral describes it as "thymidine phosphorylase-like, transcript variant X2". The record is from RNAcentral. Lineage: Eukaryota; Metazoa; Mollusca; Gastropoda; Lepetellida; Haliotidae.